Molecule: ribosomal RNA, 472 nt
Filed under: Pseudomonas sp. UW21
Lineage: Bacteria; Pseudomonadati; Pseudomonadota; Gammaproteobacteria; Pseudomonadales; Pseudomonadaceae
Description: bacterial SSU rRNA
Rfam family: Bacterial small subunit ribosomal RNA
Source: RNAcentral
CUAGGAAUCUGCCUAGUGGUGGGGGAUAACGUUCCGAAAGGAACGCUAAUACCGCAUACGUCCUACGGGAGAAAGCGGGGGAUCUUCGGACCUCGCGCCAUUAGAUGAGCCUAGGUCGGAUUAGCUAGUAGGUGAGGUAAUGGCUCACCUAGGCGACGAUCCGUAACUGGUCUGAGAGGAUGAUCAGUCACACUGGAACUGAGACACGGUCCAGACUCCUACGGGAGGCAGCAGUGGGGAAUAUUGGACAAUGGGCGAAAGCCUGAUCCAGCCAUGCCGCGUGUGUGAAGAAGGUCUUCGGAUUGUWAAGCACUUUAAGUUGGGAGGAAGGGUAUUCACCUAAUACGUGAGUAUUUUGACGUUACCGACAGAAUAAGCACCGGCUAACUUCGUGCCAGCAGCCGCGGUAAUACGAAGGGUGCAAGCGUUAAUCGGAAUUACUGGGCGUAAAGCGCGCGUAGGUGGUUCGUUA